CCUACGGGGGGCAGCAGUCGAGAAUCAUUCACAAUGGGGGAAACCCUGAUGGUGCGACGCCGCGUGGGGGAAUGAAGGUCUUCGGAUUGUAAACCCCUGUCAUGUGGGAGCAAAUUAAAAAGAUAGUACCACAAGAGGAAGAGACGGCUAACUCUGUGCCAGCAGCCGCGGUAAUACAGAGGUCUCAAGCGUUGUUCGGAAUCACUGGGCGUAAAGCGUGCGUAGGCUGUUUCGUAAGUCGUGUGUGAAAGGCGCGGGCUCAACCCGCGGACGGCACAUGAUACUGCGAGACGAGAGGAAUGGAGGGGGAACCGGAAUUCUCGGUGUAGCAGUGAAAUGCGUAGAUAUCGAGAGGAACACUCGUGGCGAAGGCGGGUUCCUGGACAUUAACUGACGCUGAGGCACGAAGGCCAGGGGAGCGAAAGGGAUUAGAUACCCGAGUAGUC
Molecule: ribosomal RNA, 446 nt
Filed under: uncultured bacterium
Lineage: Bacteria
Description: partial 16S ribosomal RNA
Rfam family: Bacterial small subunit ribosomal RNA
Source: RNAcentral